GAUGCAAGGCAGGUCAGCAGGUUGCAAAGCAAAGCUCGACACAAGCAGAGAAAACUAUGUGGUGACCAUCUCAUUGCUGACUGGUUCAUUUUAUCCAAUAAAAGGUGAAAAUCAGAUGGAGAUUCUGGGAGUUGGAUCCCUGAAGAGCUAGGGAUGUGAUGAGGAAAGGGGAAACGUUAAGAGCUGCUUGCUGACAUUAUCUGGUGCAUGAUCAGGAGAGAUUGUGCGAUGAGGUUUAAGAGGGGACGUGGGAGAAUUAGACAUCCAAGUAUCCUAUCACUGAUGUCCCAAGCAUCAUCUGUGGUCACGGUCUAAACAAUCAAUGAUCCCUUGAGGAUAAAUCCCACAUGGACGCACUUCCUCUCUUCUGAACUCUCCCACUGCAUCCUGUUACAUGUCACUUUCUCCUGAAAUAAAAAGAGAU
This is a long non-coding RNA of Amblyraja radiata (thorny skate), 424 nucleotides long. RefSeq lists it as uncharacterized. The record is from RefSeq and is a predicted model, not a curated record. Lineage: Eukaryota; Metazoa; Chordata; Chondrichthyes; Rajiformes; Rajidae. The transcript is spliced from 2 exons.